GAGUCCCAUGGUAAACACCCCUGUCCCCGUGAACCCCGCCAGCACUGGGAGGAGCUCUUCUUAGGGUGUCCACUUUACAAACCUGACCCUGCACGCCCCGCUCUGUGCCCUGCACCUCCAUCCUGAACUAUCUGGACACAGCAGGCUGGAGUGCAAUGGCGACACCUCAGCUCACUGCCACUUCUGCCUCCCGGGUUCAGGCGAUUUUCCUGCCUCAGCCUCCCGAGUAUCUGGGAUUACAGUGCCUCCUGCCACCCUGCCAGCACCGAGCCCCUCUUCCAGCCCACCCCAGUGGGGUCCAGGCCCCUCCCUGGAGCCUCACCUUGCGGGUCACGGUGCACUGCUGAGUCAUGUCCUGGAUGAGGGCUAUGAGCUGCUGCUGAGCCCUGCAGAGACCAGCAGAGGCCCUGACCCAGCUGCCUCCUGCCAGGAGGAGGAAGCCAAGGCAGGCUGGGUGCCAUUUCCCUGUGGGCCUCUCUGGGGACGCACCGAGCUCGCGGCAGCUGCUCACCUGGAGUAGUUGGGGAUGGUGCCGUGCACGGCAGCAGCAGAAGCCGUCCACCCUCCUGAGAAGCCCCACGGCCUCCUCCAGGGUCGUGUCCUCCAGGACUGCCUUGAACAAGGGCUCUGAGGCUUCGUAAUCAACCUGAGGGCAAGUCGAGAAGGUCAGUCUCUUUCUCCCGGGACUCUGAAUCCAGCCAGAAGGCAGAGGGCGCUGAGGGCACUGAGGCGAAGCGCGGGCCAGCCCUGCAGUAGGACCACUGCCUGCACGCCUUGGUCAAAACAAAGUCACACACGAGA
This 801-nucleotide non-coding RNA is filed under the name Pan troglodytes (chimpanzee). The record is from RNAcentral. Lineage: Eukaryota; Metazoa; Chordata; Mammalia; Primates; Hominidae.